GUGGGGAAUAUUGGACAAUGGGCGAAAGCCUGAUCCAGCCAUGCCGCGUGUGUGAAGAAGGUCUUCGGAUUGUAAAGCACUUUAAGUUGGGAGGAAGGGCAGUAAGUUAAUACCUUGCUGUUUUGACGUUACCAACAGAAUAAGCACCGGCUAACUUCGUGCCAGCAGCCGCGGUAAUACGAAGGGUGCAAGCGUUAAUCGGAAUUACUGGGCGUAAAGCGCGCGUAGGUGGUUCAGCAAGUUGAAGGUGAAAUCCCCGGGCUCAACCUGGGAACUGCCUCCAAAACUGCAUGACUAGAGUACGGUAGAGGGUAGUGGAAUUUCCUGUGUAGCGGUGAAAUGCGUAGAUAUAGGAAGGAACACCAGUGGCGAAGGCGACUACCUGGACUGAUACUGACACUGAGGUGCGAAAGCGUGGGGAGCAAACAGGAUUAGAAACCCGAGUAGUCC
RNAcentral lists this ribosomal RNA (450 nucleotides) under uncultured bacterium. RNAcentral describes it as "bacterial SSU rRNA". It matches the Rfam family "Bacterial small subunit ribosomal RNA", at positions 354 to 796 of the family's 1533-position model. The record is from RNAcentral.